This 396-nucleotide ribosomal RNA is filed under the name uncultured microorganism. RNAcentral describes it as "bacterial SSU rRNA". It matches the Rfam family "Bacterial small subunit ribosomal RNA", at positions 9 to 402 of the family's 1533-position model. The record is from RNAcentral.
GAGUUUGAUCGUGGCUCAGAGUGAACGCUGGCGGUAGGCCUAACACAUGCAAGUCGAACGGCAGCACAGAGGAGCUCGCUCCUUGGGUGGCGAGUGGCGGACGGGUGAGGAAUACAUCGGAAUCUACUCUGUCGUGGGGGAUAACGUAGGGAAACUUACGCUAAUACCGCAUACGACCUACGGGUGAAAGCAGGGGAUCUUCGGACCUUGCGCGAUUGAAUGAGCCGAUGUCGGAUUAGCUAGUUGGCGGGUAAAGGCCCACCAAGGCGACGAUCCGUAGCUGGUCUGAGAGGAUGAUCAGCCACACUGGAACUGAGACACGGUCCAGACUCCUACGGGAGGCAGCAGUGGGGAAUAUUGGACAAUGGGCGCAAGCCUGAUCCAGCCAUACCGCGU